AUUGAACGCUGGCGGCAGGCCUAACACAUGCAAGUCGAGCGGAUGAAGGGAGCUUGCUCCUGGAUUCAGCGGCGGACGGGUGAGUAAUGCCUAGGAAUCUGCCUGGUAGUGGGGGAUAACGUCCGGAAACGGGCGCUAAUACCGCAUACGUCCUGAGGGAGAAAGUGGGGGAUCUUCGGACCUCACGCUAUCAGAUGAGCCUAGGUCGGAUUAGCUAGUUGGUGGGGUAAAGGCCUACCAAGGCGACGAUCCGUAACUGGUCUGAGAGGAUGAUCAGUCACACUGGAACUGAGACACGGUCCAGACUCCUACGGGAGGCAGCAGUGGGGAAUAUUGGACGAUGGGCGAAAGCCUGAUCCAGCCAUGCCGCGUGUGUGAAGAAGGUCUUCGGAUUGUAAAGCACUUUAAGUUGGGAGGAAGGGCAGUAAGUUAAUACCUUGCUGUUCUGACGUUACCAACAGAAUAAGCACCGGCUAACUUCGUG
Molecule: ribosomal RNA, 484 nt
Filed under: uncultured bacterium
Lineage: Bacteria
Description: partial 16S ribosomal RNA
Rfam family: Bacterial small subunit ribosomal RNA
Source: RNAcentral